This 349-nucleotide long non-coding RNA is filed under the name Sus scrofa (pig). RNAcentral's name for it is "lncRNA (ENSSSCG00050045271.1)". The record is from RNAcentral. Lineage: Eukaryota; Metazoa; Chordata; Mammalia; Artiodactyla; Suidae.
GUGAUGGAAUAUCACUCUUCUGAAUAACUUAUGCCAAAUAAGUCUCCAUCUUGAUAGCAGAAUCACUCUAAAGUCUUUUUUUUUUAUCCUUAGUGGCUUUGAAGAAGCAAGCUGCAAUAAAUCCUAUAGCUUCAAGAAAAUCAAUUCUCCUGACAAGCAGGAGCAGCUGCAGCAGCUGCACUUCCCUCUGGAGGAAACCAGCCUGGGAGAAGAAAGGCCCUAUAGAAUUAUCACGGACUAACACCAAGCAGAAAUAUGAACCUGCUCAAUGACUUUGUGCAUACAUGGCAAAAGUUCGAGUUUUACUUGUUUCUCAAUAUUUACAGAUAUUUUAAAGUAAUAAUUCUGA